Molecule: ribosomal RNA, 402 nt
Filed under: bacterium
Lineage: Bacteria
Description: partial 16S ribosomal RNA
Rfam family: Bacterial small subunit ribosomal RNA
Source: RNAcentral
UGGGGAAUUUUGCACAAUGGGGGAAACCCUGAUGCAGCGACGCCGCGUGAUUUAGAAGGCCUUCGGGUUGUAAAAAUCUUUUUUACGGGAUGAAAAUGACAGUACCGUAAGAAUAAGGUCCGGCUAAAUACGUGCCAGCAGCCGCGGUAAUACGUAUGGAGCGAGCGUUGUCCGGAAUCAUUGGGCGUAAAGGGUACGUAGGCGGCCUAGUAAGUUAGAAGUGAAAUAAUAUAGCUCAACUAUAUAAAGCUUUUAAAACUGCUAGGCUUGAGAGAUGGAAGGGAAAGUGGAAUUCCUAGUGUAGCGGUGAAAUGCGCAGAUAUUAGGAGGAAUAACGGUGGAGAAGGCGACUUUCUGGUCAGCAUCUGACGCUGAGGUACGAAAGAGUGGGUAGCAAACAGG